Molecule: transfer RNA, 72 nt
Filed under: Nanobdellati archaeon
Lineage: Archaea; Nanobdellati
Description: DPANN group archaeon (marine metagenome) tRNA-Tyr
Rfam family: tRNA
About the family: Transfer RNA (tRNA) molecules are approximately 80 nucleotides in length.
Source: RNAcentral
CCCUGCGUAGCUCAAGGGUAGAGCGCUUGGCUGUAGACCAAGAGGUUCCCGGUUCAAGUCUGGGCGUGGGGA